Molecule: long non-coding RNA, 347 nt
Organism: Belonocnema kinseyi
Lineage: Eukaryota; Metazoa; Arthropoda; Insecta; Hymenoptera; Cynipidae
Exons: 3
Source: RefSeq, a predicted model, not a curated record
UAGAAAGCUUCAGUCGAAACUGAGCUUAGUUUUAAAUCAGUACAGUGGAUUGCGUCAUUAUUUUAAUAAACUAUGCUUUCGAAAAAUAUAAGCAAUGGAAUCUUAUACAGUAAUAGAAACAGGAAAUGCAGAAGCAAUAAAAUCGUUCAGCUCGUAUUUAUCAAAUGCAGAGGAUAAUUCUAAUUCUAUUGUGGAAACUCCAGAAUAACCAAGUAUAUCUCCGAAAGUGAUUGAGACUGUGUAUAAAAAAAUCCGAAAUCUGAAAAGUGAAAGCACUAUAUAAGAAGAUAUGCGAGGAAAGCACCUUAAUCGGCCACAUAGACUGCUUUCACAUGAUACUGAAAGCG